RNAcentral lists this long non-coding RNA (3980 nucleotides) under Xyrichtys novacula (pearly razorfish). The record is from RNAcentral. Lineage: Eukaryota; Metazoa; Chordata; Actinopteri; Labriformes; Labridae.
GUUAGGGUUGGAGUUAGGGUUAGUGUUGGAGCUAGGGUUAGGGUUGGGCUUGGAGCUAGGAUUUUUCUGAGUGCAAUGAACCAACUCCCGAGUCUCUAGGACGUUCCCAAAAAAAUUGAUUUUUUCCCAUAGGAAUGCAUGGGUUAGGGUUAGGGUUAGGGUUAGGGUUGGAGCUAGGGUUAGGGUUAGGGUUAGGGUUGGAGUUAGGGUUAGUGUUGGAGCUAGGGUUAGGGUUGGGCUUGGAGCUAGGAUUUUUCUGAGUGCAAUGAACCAACUCCUGAGUCUCUAGGACGUUCCUAAAAAAAUUUGAUUUUUUCCCAUAGGAAUGCAUGGGUUAGGGUUAGGGUUAGGGUUGGAGCUAGGGUUAGGGUUAGGGUUAGGGUUGGAGUUAGGGUUAGUGUUGGAGCUAGGGUUAGGGUUGGGCUUGGAGCUAGGAUUUUUCUGAGUGCAAUGAACCAACUCCCGAGUCUCUAGGACGUUCCUAAAAAAAUUUGAUUUUUUCCCAUAGGAUUGCAUGGGUUAGGGUUAGGGUUAGGGUUAGGGUUGGAGCUAGGGUUAGGGUUAGGGUUAGGGUUGGAGUUAGGGUUAGUGUUGGAGCUAGGGUUAGGGUUGGGCUUGGAGCUAGGAUUUUUCGGAGUGCAAUGAACCAACUCCCGAGUCUCUAGGACGUUCCUAAAAAAAUUUGAUUUUUUCCCAUAGGAAUGCAUGGGUUAGGGUUAGGGUUAGGGUUGGAGCUAGGGUUAGGGUUAGGGUUAGGGUUGGAGUUGGAGCUAGGGUUAGGGUUGGGCUUGGAGCUAGGAUUUUUCUGAGUGCAAUGAACCAACUCCCGAGUCUCUAGGACGUUCCUAAAAAAAUUUGAUUUUUUCCCAUAGGAAUGCAUGGGUUAGGGUUAGGGUUAGGGUUUGAGCUAGGGUUAGGGUUAGGGUUAGGGUUGGAGUUAGGGUUAGUGUUGGAGCUAGGGUUAGGGUUGGGCUUGGAGCUAGGAUUUUUCUGAGUGCACUGAACCAACUCCCGAGUCUCUAGGACGUUCCUAAAAAAAUUUGAUUUUUUCCCAUAGGAAUGCAUGGGUUAGGGUUAGGGUUAGGGUUAGGGUUGGAGCUAGGGUUAGGGUUAGGGUUAGGGUUAGGGUUGGAGUUAGGGUUAGUGUUGGAGCUAGGGUUAGGGUUGGGCUUGGAGCUAGGAUUUUUCGGAGUGCAAUGAACCAACUCCCGAGUCUCUAGGACGUUCCUAAAAAUUUUUUAUUUUUUCCCAUAGGAAUGCAUGGGUUAGGGUUAGGGUUAGGGUUGGAGCUAGGGUUAGGGUUAGGGUUAGGGUUGGAGUUAGGGUUAGUGUUGGAGCUAGGGUUAGGGUUGGGCUUGGAGCUAGGAUUUUUCUGAGUGCAAUGAACCAACUCCGAGUCUCUAGGACAUUCCUAAAAAAAUUUGAUUUUUUUCCCAUAGGAAUGCAUGGGUUAGGGUUAGGGUUAGGGUUGGAGCUAGGGUUAGGGUUAGGGUUAGGGUUGGAGUUAGGGUUAGUGUUGGAGCUAGGGUUAGGGUUGGGCUUGGAGCUAGGAUUUUUCUGAGUGCAAUGAACCAACUCCCGAGUCUCUAGGACGUUCCUAAAAAAAUUUGAUUUUUUCCCAUAGGAAUGCAUGGGUUAGGGUUAGGGUUAGGGUUUGAGCUAGGGUUAGGGUUAGGGUUAGGGUUGGAGUUAGGGUUAGUGUUGGAGCUAGGGUUAGGGUUGGGCUUGGAGCUAGGAUUUUUCUGAGUGCACUGAACCAACUCCCGAGUCUCUAGGACGUUCCUAAAAAAAUUUGAUUUUUUCCCAUAGGAAUGCAUGGGUUAGGGUUAGGGUUAGGGUUAGGGUUGGAGCUAGGGUUAGGGUUAGGGUUAGGGUUGGAGUUAGGGUUAGUGUUGGAGCUAGGGUUAGGGUUGGGCUUGGAGCUAGGAUUUUUCGGAGUGCAAUGAACCAACUCCCGAGUCUCUAGGACGUUCCUAAAAAAUUUUUAUUUUUUCCCAUAGGAAUGCAUGGGUUAGGGUUAGGGUUAGGAUUGGAGCUAGGGUUAGGGUUAGGGUUAGGGUUGGAGUUGGAGCUAGGGUUAGGGUUGGGCUUGGAGCUAGGAUUUUUCUGAGUGCAAUGAACCAACUCCCGAGUCUCUAGGACGUUCCCAAAAAAAUUUGAUUUUUUCCCAUAGGAAUGCAUGGGUUAGGGUUAGGGUUAGGGUUGGAGCUAGGGUUAGGGUUAGGGUUAGGGUUGGAGUUAGGGUUAGUGUUGGAGCUAGGGUUAGGGUUGGGCUUGGAGCUAGGAUUUUUCUGAGUGCAAUGAACCAACUCCCGAGUCUCUAGGACGUUCCUAAAAAAAUUUGAUUUUUUCCCAUAGGAAUGCAUGGGUUAGGGUUAGGGUUAGGGUUUGAGCUAGGGUUAGGGUUAGGGUUAGGGUUGGCGUUAGGGUUAGUGUUGGAGCUAGGGUUAGGGUUGGGCUUGGAGCUAGGAUUUUUCUGAGUGCACUGAACCAACUCCCGAGUCUCUAGGACGUUCCUAAAAAAAUUUGAUUUUUUCCCAUAGGAAUGCAUGGGUUAGGGUUAGGGUUAGGGUUGGAGCUAGGGUUAGGGUUAGGGUUAGGGUUGGAGUUAGGGUUAGUGUUGGAGCUAGGGUUAGGGUUGGGCUUGGAGCUAGGAUUUUUCUGAGUGCACUGAACCAACUCCCGAGUCUCUAGGACGUUCCUAAAAAAAUUUGAUUUUUCCCAUAGGAAUGCAUGGGUUAGGGUUAGGGUUAGGGUUAGGGUUGGAGCUAGGGUUAGGGUUAGGGUUAGGGUUGGAGUUAGGGUUAGUGUUGGAGCUAGGGUUAGGGUUGGGCUUGGAGCUAGGAUUUUUCUGAGUGCACUGAACCAACUCCCAAGUCUCUAGGACGUUCCUAAAAAAAUUUGAUUUUUUCCCAUAGGAAUGCAUGGGUUAGGGUUAGGGUUAGGGUUAGGGUUGGAGCUAGGGUUAGGGUUGGAGUUAGGGUUAGUGUUGGAGCUAGGGUUAGGGUUGGGCUUGGAGCUAGGAUUUUUCUGAGUGCAAUGAACCAACUCCCGAGUCUCUAUGACGUUCCUAAAAAAAUUGAUUUUUUCCCAUAGGAAUGCAUGGGUUAGGGUUAGGGUUAGGGUUGGAGCUAGGGUUAGGGUUAGGGUUAGGGUUAGUGUUGGAGCUAGGGUUAGGGUUGGGCUUGGAGCUAGGAUUUUUCUGAGUGCAAUGAACCAACUCCCGAGUCUCUAGGACGUUCCUAAAAAAAUUUGAUUUUUUCCCAUAGGAAUGCAUGGGUUAGGGUUAGGGUUAGGGUUGGAGCUAGGGUUAGGGUUAGGGUUAGGGUUUGAGUUAGGGUUAGUGUUGGAGCUAGGGUUAGGGUUGGGCUUGGAGCUAGGAUUUUUCUGAGUGCAAUGAACCAACUCCCGAGUCUCUAGGACGUUCCUAAAAAAAUUUGAUUUUUUCCCAUAGGAAUGCAUGGGUUAGGGUUAAGGGUUAGGGUUUGGAGCUAGGGUUAGGGUUGGAGUUAGGGUUAGUGUUGGAGCUAGGGUUAGGGUUGGGCUUGGAGCUAAGAUUUUUCUGAGUGCACUGAACCAACUCCCGAGUCUCUAGGACGUUCCUAAAAAAAUUUGAUUUUUUCCCAUAGGAAUGCAUGGGUUAGGGUUAGGGUUAGGGUUGGAGCUAGGGUUAGGGUUAGGGUUAGGGUUGGAGUUAGGGUUAGUGUUGGAGCUAGGGUUAGGGUUGGGCUUGGAGCUAGGAUUGUUCUGAGUCCACUGAACAAACUCCCGAGUCUCUAGGACGUUCCUAAAAAAAUUUGAUUUUUCCCAUAGGAAUGCAUGGGUUAGGGUUAGGGUUAGGGUUAGGGUUGGAGCUAGGGUUAGGGUUAGGGUUAGGGUUGGAGUUAGGGUUAGUGUUGGAGCUAGGGUUAGGGUUGGGCUUGGAGCUAGGAUUUUUCUGAGUGCACUGAACCAACUCCCAAGUCUCUAGGACGUUCCUA